AGCAGCUGACUCUUAAUCAGCGGGUCCACGGUUCGAGCCCGUGAUCACCCACCA
This 54-nucleotide transfer RNA is filed under the name Ensifer sp. Root954. RNAcentral describes it as "tRNA-Ser". It matches the Rfam family "tRNA", at positions 22 to 71 of the family's 71-position model. From Rfam's summary of the family: Transfer RNA (tRNA) molecules are approximately 80 nucleotides in length. Lineage: Bacteria; Pseudomonadati; Pseudomonadota; Alphaproteobacteria; Hyphomicrobiales; Rhizobiaceae. The record is from RNAcentral.